UGGGGAAUAUUGGACAAUGGGCGCAAGCCUGAUCCAGCCAUGCCGCGUGAGUGAUGAAGGCCCUAGGGUUGUAAAGCUCUUUCACCGGUGAAGAUAAUGACGGUAACCGGAGAAGAAGCCCCGGCUAACUUCGUGCCAGCAGCCGCGGUAAUACGAAGGGGGCUAGCGUUGUUCGGAUUUACUGGGCGUAAAGCGCACGUAGGCGGACUAUUAAGUCAGGGGUGAAAUCCCGGGGCUCAACCCCGGAACUGCCUUUGAUACUGGUAGUCUUGAGUUCGAGAGAGGUGAGUGGAAUUCCGAGUGUAGAGGUGAAAUUCGUAGAUAUUCGGAGGAACCCCAGUGGCGAAGGCGGCUCACUGGCUCAAUACUGACGCUGAGGUGCGAAAGCGUGGGGAGCAAACAGG
This 404-nucleotide ribosomal RNA is filed under the name Actinomycetes bacterium. RNAcentral describes it as "Actinobacteria bacterium partial 16S ribosomal RNA". It matches the Rfam family "Bacterial small subunit ribosomal RNA", at positions 355 to 776 of the family's 1533-position model. The record is from RNAcentral. Lineage: Bacteria; Bacillati; Actinomycetota; Actinomycetes.